This 496-nucleotide small RNA is filed under the name Pongo abelii (Sumatran orangutan). Its description in RNAcentral is "retained intron". Lineage: Eukaryota; Metazoa; Chordata; Mammalia; Primates; Hominidae. The record is from RNAcentral.
ACAUUCUCCGGGUCCUUCUCAAGAAUGAACUGGAGCUGGCGGAGACCAAAUGCGCCUUGCAGGAGGAGAAGCUGCAGCAGGGCGCGCUGCAGACAGCGGAGGCCUGGGCCAUAUUCCAGGAGCAGACCGUAGUCCUGCAGGUGCGGCCCCACUCAGACGCCAAGGUGCCUCUCGCCUCUCCUUCCCCAGACCUGGGGCGGUGUGACGGGCAGCUUCGCGGAGUGCAGUACAGCACCCAGUCGCUCAUGGAGGAGAUGGCCAGGGCGGACCGAGAGAUGCGGCUGUUCGGCGGCCCUGGCGCGCUGGCCAUCAGGUAAGCCAAGCGGUGGGCGCGGCUGCGGUCCCCCAGGUGCCCGCCCGAGCCGCUGCCCACCUGCCCGCCUUUCGCCCAGCAGGCGGUGCGUGCUGGGCGCGCUGCAGGUGCUGCUGACGCUGCCGCUCCUCUUCCUGGGGCUGUCGCUACUCUGGACGGUGCUGUUGGACCCCGGCGCCGUCU